Lenzites betulinus is the source of this 92-nucleotide non-coding RNA. NCBI's taxonomy places the organism in Eukaryota, Fungi, Basidiomycota, Agaricomycetes, Polyporales, Polyporaceae. The record is from the annotation of a GenBank genome assembly.
GCCCGCCUAGCUCAAUCGGAUAGAGCGUCAGACUCUUACUAGAGUACUAGCGGGUGAUCUGAAGGCUGCGAGUUCGACCCUCGCGGUGGGCU